Molecule: ribosomal RNA, 202 nt
Filed under: uncultured bacterium
Lineage: Bacteria
Description: partial 16S ribosomal RNA
Source: RNAcentral
GACGAACGCUGGCGGCGUGCUUAACACAUGCAAGUCGAGCGGUAAGGCCCUUUCGGGGUACGACGAGCGGCGAACGGGUAGGAGUAACAACGUGGGUGGACCUCGCCCUCCAGCUCUUGGGAGUAAAGACCUCGGGAAACGUAGGGUCGUAAUAACCGGACGUAUGACUCCAUGACGCAUGUUGUGGGGUGGGAAAGACCUU